AAUGAACGCUAGCGAUAGGCUUAACACAUGCAAGUCGAGCGGCAGCAUGGUCUUAGCUUGCUAUGGCUGAUGGCGACCGGCGCACGGGUGCGUAACGCGUAUGCAUCUUGCCUCACAGAGGGGGAUAACCCGUCGAAAUACCGCCUAAUACCGCGUACACUCUCUGUUGGGCAUCCAAUGUCUAGGAACUUAAAUUCGCUGUGUGAUAGGCAUUCGUCCCAUUAGCUAGUUGGUGAGGUAACGGCUCACCAAGGCGACGCUUAGUAGGUGAGAUGAGAGGUUGAACCACCACAAUGGUACUGAGACACGGACCAGAAUGCGACGGGAGGAAGCAGUGAGGAAGAUAGGUCGAGGGGCGAGAGCCUGAACCAGCCAAGUCGCGUGAAGGAGGACUGUCGUAGGGAUUGUAAACUUCUGUGAUACAAGAAUAACAAGAGUAAAGGGUGGCUCCCUGAAUGUACCGAAUGAAUAAGCAUCGGCUAACUCCGUG
This 490-nucleotide ribosomal RNA is filed under the name uncultured bacterium. RNAcentral describes it as "partial 16S ribosomal RNA". It matches the Rfam family "Bacterial small subunit ribosomal RNA", at positions 29 to 507 of the family's 1533-position model. The record is from RNAcentral.